Non-coding RNA from Metarhizium robertsii ARSEF 23, 120 nucleotides. The record is from Rfam. NCBI's taxonomy places the organism in Eukaryota, Fungi, Ascomycota, Sordariomycetes, Hypocreales, Clavicipitaceae.
ACAUACGAUCACAGCCGCCAGUAAAAUUCAGGAUCCCGUCCGAUCUCCUAGGACAACCUGGCGAGCGCUAGAUUAGUAGCUAGGUCGGUGACGACUAGCGAAUACCUAGUGUUGUAUGUU